GACAUGCUGUAGUCUGAAAACCCCUAAACUGAACUGAAUAAGGAGUUGAGGGGACAUGUUCCCAACUAACUCCGUCUACUGAAAUAAACUGAAAACUGAAAUAUUGAUAUGAAUAAUAACAUAAUUGAACUCGAAGGAUGAGGACUCACUAUUAAUUACUGCUUCUAGCUGACUCUGAAAUUGCUAAGGGAGCUCUGGAUCCCGUGCAUCCAAACCUUUGGUGUAAGACACCAUAGCGCGAGAAAAGUAUGCAUUAGUACUUUGAAUGUAUUGGUAUGCAAGUGAGGUAGGGUGAAUGCAUGGGGUUCAUAUGUAUGAACAAUAUUGACUAACAUAAACGUGAGAAUACAUGCAUGAAUACAUAAUAAUUGUAACUGAAACUGUACUUGUACUGGAUACUGAAUUCUGUGUACUGAUUUACUAACAUCUGAGUUUACUAAAUAAAGAGGAACUGAUGUUAUAUUAAUGAUAAAGAAAAUGACUGUUUCUGAUAGUUCUGAUUAUGAAGAAUUGAUCUGAUUGACCGUAUAUAAUAGUCCUAAAACUGAGUUCGUGAUAACAUGACUACUGAGUAUGAAUACUGGUGACAUGUAUUUACUGAUAACAUAUCAUUACUGAUAACUGAAUUCUGAUAACUGAUAUAUCUGAUAACAUAAGUUCUGAUAACUAAUAGCAUGAAUGACUGUAUCUGAUAGUCCUGAAUCUAAUGGAACUAGUUGAGUUCCGUACUGUAUCUGAGUUGACUGUAUCUGUCAGUCCUGAUAUCCUGAAGAACUAUCUGAGUUCUUUUACUGAGACUGAUACUAAAACUGUGGGAAGUAGUUAUCUAACCGACAUGCCCCAAAUACGCUAUAAUAUCUAAGAUGGGGUCCAAUCUUUGCCCUGAUUGGAAGGGUGUCAAUACUGCGCCUCUGGUAAGGACAAGCUGUGAGUGACCCUCAUCUGGCAGGUACUCUAAUGAGAACGGUGGGAAACCUCAUCUGACAGGUCAAGCCACCUCAUCUACCCUCAACUAAUAGGUAUUGAUGUCUCAACCUAUGAUGGCUACAUACUUCUGGAAUGCAAGGACUGCUUCUAAGAAUCACACGCUGUACUGGCAGGUGAGAUCCCAUCCGUGGGUUGCUAGUCGCUGAAUCCUAUAGCCAACUGAAUGACACUGAACUGAUGAUACUGAAUUGAUUUCCUAGUUCAUACUAGAAUUAACUCAACUGUUACUGAUUGUUCUGUUUAACUGAACUGAACAUGGACUGAGUUUAUUGAGUUCUGAUGACUAGCGGAACACUACUUAAUUCUGUUAAUUGACUAAAUGCUACUGAGUUCUAUUAGCUGAUUGAGUUUACUGAUGUCUGAACUUAACACUGAACUAAAAUAUAUUGAUACUGAGAUUUAUUGAAUUCCAUAGACUGACGGAAUAUUACAGAGAUUAUGUAGAUUACUGAGUACUGAGUAAAACUGAACUGAUACUGCCUUUACAUGAGUUUUCCUAACUCAUGAGACUGACUAAAGUCUACUGAACAUGGCUUGACUGAGAGUAUCGUGAAAACAUGACAUGGCUAUAGGCACCGAGCUAUAUUUUUUGGGUACAAGUACCCCCAGGACUCGAUGGAAGGAAACUGACACACCAUGAAAAUUCUUGAUCAUAGGAUUAAAGAUCCACAAUUCAUAAUACCAUAAGUUGGGGAUUUAAUGAAAGCACUUGAUAAGUAUAAUCUUGUACAUGAAUAGGAAUGUAUCCUAACAUAUCAUAAUUUCACAAUUUUAAUUUUACUUGCAUGACAUGAACUUGUAUACAUGCUAACAUAAUGUAGUUUCAUAACUUAACUUUCAUGAACCAUUUGUCAAACACCUGCAAGACAUAGCAUCAACAUGGAAAUCAUUUAAAUCAUGUAGUAUUAACAUGAAUUCAUUAUUUAGAUCACCAAUAGAUCACAAGGCACAAUUCAUUCACUUGAACAUUUUCACAAACACAUGAAAGACAUGAUUUUAUACUUAGGCAUGUAUAACAUGCUCCCAAUUCAUGACCAUAACCACCAAUUCACAUCUCAAGGUUUUCAAUAUAUGAUGGUCAUGAUUCAACACACAUGGGAAGCAUAGAUAUUUCAUUCAUCAAUUAACAUAUAUCAAUAUUAUGGGUAUAACAUCCAACUUGCAAAUUCCAAGAACUCAACAUAAAUCUCAUAUGAAUAAUACCACAAAUAAAUUAGUUUUCAUGAUUCUUGAAAUAACUCAUGGAAUUGAAACUCAAUUUAACACCAACAACAUAAUUAUAAAUAUCCCACAACAAAAUAUUCAUGAUACAUAACUUAAAACUUGAUUCUUGAGCUCCAUGGAUGAAAAGAAUCCAUGAAUGAAUACUAUGCAUACCUUAGAUUGAUUAUCCGUGAAAGUUAACAGUGAAAUUGGCUUGAAUCUUGAAACCCCCAAUUGAACCCUUACUUGUUCUUGAUAAUUUUUGAGAGAAUUUGAAAAAAAGAG
RNAcentral lists this long non-coding RNA (2475 nucleotides) under Capsicum annuum. RNAcentral's name for it is "long non-coding RNA (CANN_LNC021656)". Lineage: Eukaryota; Viridiplantae; Streptophyta; Magnoliopsida; Solanales; Solanaceae. The record is from RNAcentral.